UUGAGCCUUGAUGUGUAGGAUAGGUGGGAGGCUUUGAAGUGUGGACGCCAGUCUGCAUGGAGCCAACCUUGAAAUACCACCCUUUAACGUUUGAUGUUCUAACCUAGGCCCAUAAACUGGGUCGGGGACCGUGUCUGGUGGGUAGUUUGACUGGGGCGGUCUCCUCCUAAAGAGUAACGGAGGAGCACGAAGGUUGGCUAAGCAUGGUCGGACAUCAUGCGGUUAGUGCAAAGGCAUAAGCCAGCUUGACUGCGAGAGUGACGGCUCGAGCAGGUACGAAAGUAGGUCUUAGUGAUCCGGUGGUUCUGAAUGGAAGGGCCAUCGCUCAACGGAUAAAAGGUACUCCGGGGAUAACAGGCUGAUACCGCCCAAGAGUUCAUAUCGACGGCGGUGUUUGGCACCUCGAUGUCGGCUCAUCACAUCCUGGGGCUGAAGUAGGUCCCAAGGGUAUGGCUGUUCGCCAUUUAAAGUGGUACGCGAGCUGGGUUUAGAACGUCGUGAGACAGUUCGGUCCCUAUCUGCCGUGGGCG
This 530-nucleotide ribosomal RNA is filed under the name Enterobacter hormaechei. Its description in RNAcentral is "partial 23S ribosomal RNA". It matches the Rfam family "Bacterial large subunit ribosomal RNA", at positions 2124 to 2653 of the family's 2925-position model. RNAcentral also lists the same sequence under 1 other name. The record is from RNAcentral. Lineage: Bacteria; Pseudomonadati; Pseudomonadota; Gammaproteobacteria; Enterobacterales; Enterobacteriaceae.